UCAAGUUACAAAGGGCGCAGGGCGGAUGCCUUGGCACCAGGAGCCGAAGAAGGACGUGAUAAGCUGCGAAAAGCUGCGGGGAGGAGCAAAUAUCCAUUGAUCCGCAGGUAUCCGAAUGGGGAAACCCGGCAGAAAGAACUUCUGUCACCGUAUGAUGAAUCCAUAGUCAUACGGAGGGAACCCGGCGAACUGAAACAUCUAAGUAGCCGGAGGAAGAGGAAGAAACAUCGAAUCCCUAAGUAGUGGCGAGCGAAAGGGGACGAAGCCCAAACCAAGGAUUUAUCCUUGGGGUAGAGGACCACAUACGAAGAAGCAGUAGGUAGCAGAACGGUUUUGGGAAAGCCGGCUGGAGAGAGUGAAAGCCUCGUAUGCGAAACAGACUGUGAUUCAGUGGUAUCCGGAGUACUACGGGACACGAGAAACCCCGUAGGAAGCAGGGGGGACCACCCCCCAAGGCGAAAUACUACCUGGUGACCGAUAGAGUAUAGUACCGUGAGGGAAAGGUGAAAAGAACCCCGGGAGGGGAGUGAAAGAGAACCUGAAACCCUGUGUCUACAAGCUGCGGAAGAGCGACUAACGCUCGACCGUGUACUUUUUGUAGAACGGUCCGGCGAGUUGCCGUUGCUGGCAGGUUAAGUACUUAAGGUACGGAGCCGAAGGGAAACCAAGUCUUAACAGGGCGGUAAGUCAGUAACGGCAGACCCGAAACCGGGUGACCUACCCAUGGCCAGGAUGAAGUCUGCGUAAAAGUGGAUGGAGGUCCGAACACACGUCUGUUGAAAAAGGCGGUGAUGAGCUGUGGGUAGCGGAGAAAUUCCAAUCGAACUCGGAGAUAGCUGGUUCUCCCCGAAAUAGCUUUAGGGCUAGCCUCGGUAUAGUCUAAUGGAGGUAGAGCACUGAAUCGCUGCGGGGGCGUCAAAGUCUACCAAUGCGUAUCAAACUCCGAAUGCCAUAUAGAUGUUUACCGGGAGUCAGACUGUAUGAGAUAAGUCGGACAGUCAAAAGGGAAACAGCCCAGACCAUCUGCUAAGGUCCCAAAGUGUAUGUUAAGUGGUAAAGGAUGUGGGGUUUCGAAGACAACUAGGAUGUUGGCUCAGAAGCAGCCAUUCAUUCAAAGAGUGCGUAAUAGCUCACUAGUCGAGAGGUCCUGCGCCGAAAAUGUCCGGGGCUGAAACAUAACACCGAAGCAAUGGAACAUACCGCAAGGUAUGUUGGUAGGGGAGCAUUGAUAACACGAAGAAGCGGUACCGUAAGGAGCCGUGGAGAGUUAUCAAGAGAGAAUGCCGGAAUGAGUAGCGAGAUGAAGGUGAGAAUCCUUCAGGCCGUAUAUCCAAGGUUUCCAGGGUAAAGCUGAUCUUCCCUGGGGAAGUCGGGACCUAAGCUCAGGCUGAGAAGCGUAGGCGAUGGACAACUGGUUGAUAUUCCAGUACCUCUGGCUGUCAGAAAUGUGGGGACACGGAAAUUCAGGAAGUGCCUGUAAAGGAUUCAGGUGCAAGCAUGGUUUAUGCCGGGCAGGCAAAUCCGCCCGGGUAAGUGGACUGUGUGAUGCGGACCGAAAUAUAAGUAGGGAAGCUUCUGGGAGAGCCGUCGAGAAAAGCCGCUAUUGUGCAGCCAGAGCCCGUACCGUAAACCGACACAGGUGGAUGGGGAGAGUAUCCCAAGGCCGGCGGGAGAAGCAUUGUUAAGGAACUCGGCAAAAUGGCCCCGUAAGUUCGCGAUAAGGGGUGCCUGUAGAGAUACAGGCCGCAGAGAAUAGGCUCAAGCAACUGUUUAGCAAAAACACAGGUCUAUGCGAAACCGUAAGGUGAUGUAUAUGGGCUGACGCCUGCCCGGUGCUGGAAGGUUACGGGGAGUGCUUAGGAGCAAUCCGAAGGUACGAACUUAAGCCCCAGUAAACGGCGGCCGUAACUAUAACGGUCCUAAGGUAGCGAAAUUCCUUGUCGGGU
RNAcentral lists this ribosomal RNA (1946 nucleotides) under human metagenome. RNAcentral describes it as "bacterial LSU rRNA". It matches the Rfam family "Bacterial large subunit ribosomal RNA", at positions 3 to 1977 of the family's 2925-position model. The record is from RNAcentral.